RNAcentral lists this ribosomal RNA (755 nucleotides) under uncultured bacterium. RNAcentral describes it as "bacterial SSU rRNA". It matches the Rfam family "Bacterial small subunit ribosomal RNA", at positions 93 to 860 of the family's 1533-position model. The record is from RNAcentral.
CAGUGGCGAACGGGUGAGUAACACGUGAGCAAUCUGCCCCUGACUCUGGGAUAAGCGCUGGAAACGGCGUCUAAUACCGGAUACGAGCUGCGAAGGCAUCUUCAGCAGCUGGAAAGAAUUUCGGUCAGGGAUGAGCUCGCGGCCUAUCAGCUUGUUGGUGAGGUAAUGGCUCACCAAGGCGUCGACGGGUAGCCGGCCUGAGAGGGUGACCGGCCACACUGGGACUGAGACACGGCCCAGACUCCUACGGGAGGCAGCAGUGGGGAAUAUUGCACAAUGGGCGAAAGCCUGAUGCAGCAACGCCGCGUGAGGGAUGACGGCCUUCGGGUUGUAAACCUCUUUUAGCAAGGAAGAAGCGAAAGUGACGGUACUUGCAGAAAAAGCGCCGGCUAACUACGUGCCAGCAGCCGCGGUAAUACGUAGGGCGCAAGCGUUAUCCGGAAUUAUUGGGCGUAAAGAGCUCGUAGGCGGUCUGUCGCGUCUGCUGUGAAAACCCGAGGCUCAACCUCGGGCCUGCAGUGGGUACGGGCAGACUAGAGUGCGGUAGGGGAGAUUGGAAUUCCUGGUGUAGCGGUGGAAUGCGCAGAUAUCAGGAGGAACACCGAUGGCGAAGGCAGAUCUCUGGGCCGUAACUGACGCUGAGGAGCGAAAGGGUGGGGAGCAAACAGGCUUAGAUACCCUGGUAGUCCACCCCGUAAACGUUGGGAACUAGUUGUGGGGUCCAUUCCACGGAUUCCGUGACGCAGCUAACGCAU